This 441-nucleotide ribosomal RNA is filed under the name Pakeha sp. CG169. RNAcentral describes it as "partial 16S ribosomal RNA". Lineage: Eukaryota; Metazoa; Arthropoda; Arachnida; Araneae; Amaurobiidae. The record is from RNAcentral.
UUCUAAUAGAUAUAAUUAUUAGUAAAAUCUGCUCAAUGAAUAUUAAAUAGCCGCAACUUAGUUGUGCUAAGGUAGCAUAAUCAUUUGUCUUUUAAUUAAAGACUAGAACGAAAGAUUUCACAUUUAAAUUACUAUUAAAAUAUAAUAAUUUUAAAUUAUUCUAAAUAUAAAAAAAUAUUUAUAAAUAAAAAAGACGAUAAGACCCUAUUGAACUUAACUUAAGUUAAACUGGGGUAGUUAAUUAAAAAUUAUUUUAAUUUUAAUUAAUAAAACAAUGAUCCAAUAUAUUUGAUUAUAUAAUCAAGUUACCAUAGGGAUAACAGCGUAAUAAAUUUUUAAAGAUCUUAUAUAAAAAAAAGAUUACGACCUCGAUGUUGAAUAAUAAUCCUAUUAUAAGCAAAUUUUCAAAAAGGAAGUCUGUUCGACUUUUAAUUAAUUACA